GAUGAACGCUGGCGGCGUGCCUAAUACAUGCAAGUCGAGCGAACAGACGAGAGUGCUUGCACUCUCUGACGUUAGCGGCGGACGGGUGAGUAACACGUGGGUAACCUACCUAUAAGACUGGGAUAACUUCGGGAAACCGGAACUAAUACCGGAUAAUAUUUAGCUUCGCAUGAAGCAAUAGUGAAAGACGGUUCUGCUGUCACUUAUAGAUGGACCCGCGGUGUAUUAGCUAGUUGGUGAGGUAACGGCUCACCAAGGCAACGAUACAUAGCCGACCUGAGAGGGUGAUCGGCCACACUGGGACGGGGACGCGGACCAGACUCCUGCGGGAGGCAGCAGAAGGGAAUCUGCCGCAAUGGACGAGAGUCUGACGGAGCAAUGCCGCGUGAGUGGAGAAGGUUUUCGGAUCGUAAAGCUCUGUUGUGAGGGAAGAACAAGUACGUUAGUAAAUGAACGUACCUUGACGGUACCUGACCAGAAAGCCACGGCUAACUACGUG
RNAcentral lists this ribosomal RNA (499 nucleotides) under uncultured bacterium. RNAcentral's name for it is "partial 16S ribosomal RNA". It matches the Rfam family "Bacterial small subunit ribosomal RNA", at positions 28 to 507 of the family's 1533-position model. The record is from RNAcentral.